UACAGAGGGUGCAAGCGUUGUUCGGAAUUAUUGGGCGUAAAGAGCGCGCAGGCGGUCGUUCAAGUCGAGUGUGAAAGCCCCCGGCUCAACUGGGGAGGGUCAUUCGAUACUGAUCGACUCGAAGGCAGGAGAGGGUAGUGGAAUUCCCGGUGUAGUGGUGAAAUGCGUAGAUAUCAGGAGGAACACCCGUGGCGAAAGCGGCUCUCUGGGACGGUACUGACGCUGAGACGCGAAAGCGUGGGGAGCAAACAGG
Molecule: ribosomal RNA, 253 nt
Filed under: uncultured bacterium
Lineage: Bacteria
Description: partial 16S ribosomal RNA
Rfam family: Bacterial small subunit ribosomal RNA
Source: RNAcentral